This 187-nucleotide unclassified non-coding RNA is filed under the name uncultured Hypoxylon. RNAcentral describes it as "sequence contains ITS1". The record is from RNAcentral. Lineage: Eukaryota; Fungi; Ascomycota; Sordariomycetes; Xylariales; Xylariaceae.
CAGAGUUACCAAAACUCCCAACCCUUUGUGUACCUACUACCAUUGCUUCGGCGGGCUGCGGCUACCCUGCAGCUACCCUGUAAUUCAGGGUGGGCUUGCCUGGUAGCUCGCGCGAAGGCCCGUCAGAGGACCAUUAAACUCUUGUUACCCUGUACGUCAUAUCUGAAUGCUUCAACUUAAUAAGUUA